UAAUACGUAGGGUGCGAGCGUUAAUCGGAAUUACUGGGCGUAAAGCGUGCGCAGGCGGUCCGCAAAGUCUGAUGUGAAAGCCCCGGGCUCAACCUGGGAACUGCAUUGGAAACUAACGGGCUCGAGUGUGGCAGAGGGGGGUGGAAUUCCACGUGUAGCAGUGAAAUGCGUAGAGAUGUGGAGGAACACCGAUGGCGAAGGCAGCCCCCUGGGCUAACACUGACGCUCAGGCACGAAAGCGUGGGGAGCAAACAGGAUUAGAUACCCUGGUAGUCCACGCCCUAAACGAUGUCAACUGGGUGUUGGGGAAGCGAUUCCUCAGUACCGUAGCUAACGCGUGAAGUUGACCGCCUGGGGAGUACGGCCGCAAGGUU
RNAcentral lists this ribosomal RNA (374 nucleotides) under uncultured bacterium. RNAcentral describes it as "bacterial SSU rRNA". It matches the Rfam family "Bacterial small subunit ribosomal RNA", at positions 521 to 895 of the family's 1533-position model. The record is from RNAcentral.